UCAAGCAGAGUACAAUAUAACCACGAAAACAAUUCAUAAGGAAAAGUUCAGAAAACUGUGUUGCCUCCUAGUAAGCGCUGCUUUAACGUCACUAGCUUGACCCAAUCUUCAUUAUCACAACAUCCAUCAGCAGAUGCUAAUAUUUCUUAUCUGCAUUGGCAUCCCUCAGUAGACACCAACCUUUGUCAUCUUCAUCGGCAUCCAUCAGUAGAUGCCUAAUCACCUAACUUCCAUCAGUAAAUGUCUAGUUACCGUCCUCUUCUAGUGUAGCAUCCAUCAGUAAAUGUUGUCAUUCAUCCUCCUCAUUAUAGCAACAUCCAUCACUAGAUGUUGUGUAAGCAUCCAUCAGUAGAUGCGGUCAUUACUGCCAUCAAAAGCAGCAUAUAAGCUAAAAUAAACUCAAACACACAAAAACAAAAUCAAAUUCAAACCAUACAACUAAAUUAAAAAGAAAAUAAAAUAAAAUAAAACAAAUAAAUAAAAUAAAAUAAAAUAAAACAAAAUAAAAGAUAAAAAAAUUCAAAAACUGAAUUAUUUCCCAACAAGCGUUUCUUUA
This 556-nucleotide long non-coding RNA is filed under the name Vigna radiata. RNAcentral's name for it is "long non-coding RNA (VRAD_LNC006700)". Lineage: Eukaryota; Viridiplantae; Streptophyta; Magnoliopsida; Fabales; Fabaceae. The record is from RNAcentral.